This is a long non-coding RNA of Anguilla rostrata (American eel), 545 nucleotides long. RefSeq lists it as uncharacterized. The transcript is spliced from 3 exons. NCBI's taxonomy places the organism in Eukaryota, Metazoa, Chordata, Actinopteri, Anguilliformes, Anguillidae. The record is from RefSeq and is a predicted model, not a curated record.
ACAUGAGGUCCGGGGUUGUCUGGUGGAUUUGUUGCAUCAUAGUUUUGACACUCAAGCAUCAGCUGCUACUUAACGCAGAGGGAUGUCUUUUGGCCUUCCGUUCUGUCGGGGAUUGAUGUAUUGCCCUGGCUGAGAUGACAGACUCUCCUCAAGCCUUUGGGUAGGCUGACUGAGGAUGCAUGAUGCUCUCUUACAGCAGUGCCGUCUGAAUAACCCCACCCUGGGAAUGAGUCUGCAGACGGUGAGAUCGGCAGCUAUGAAGACACUGGCAGUGCCUUAACAGAUCCCAGGACUUGGGGCCCAUCCGUGCACUAGAACAGUGCCUUAACAGGAUGAGCCGCCCAGCAACCCCAUCAUGCUCUUUCACUUCUCUUCUGCUACCCCCUUUUGGGUGGUUUUAAUUCAGGCGCAGGAACUAUUUUUCACGUCCAAACACAGGCGCGUCACGUGGGUAGCAGCCUCUCCAUUUCCCGUCCCGCUUGACAUUGCGAGCCGUGGAUUCGUUUCCACCCCCCCCCCCCUCAUCUGUUCAUCAGAGAGAGAGA